CAUGGAGGGUGAGAAUCCCGUUCAUGGUUAAUCCUAAGGAAGCUCUACGAUACGUUUUCCAAGAGUCGAGUUGUUUGGGAUUGCAGCUCAAAAUGGGAGGUAAAUUUCUCCUAAGGCUAAAUAUUGGCGAGAGACCGAUAGCGAACAAGUACCGUGAGGGAAAGAUGAAAAGAACUUUGAAAAGAGAGUUAAACAGUACGUGAAAUUGUUGAAAGGGAAACGAUUGAAGUCAGUCAUACCAACGGGAAAUCAACCUUUUGAGCUCGGUCUCGUGGGUUUUGAAGAGUUUCAAAGCCUUCGGAUUCGCGGGAUUGGGAUCUCUUGGUGUACUUUUUCGUACGGUUAGUCAACAUCGGUUUUGAAUGUCAUAAAAUGACUGGAGGAAUGUAGCUUCGAUCUCGUAUUGAAGUGUUAUAGCCUUUGGUAGAUGUGAUGUUUGAGACCGAGGAUUGCAACGGAUACCCUUCAGGGCUAUUCGUCUGAUCUCUGAUACGUUGCCUUGAUGUUGAAAGCUUGCUUAUGAUGUUAGGAUAUUACGGUCAAAAGGUUAGAACGAAUUACAUUCGUUAAGGAUGUUGACGUAAUGG
This 587-nucleotide ribosomal RNA is filed under the name uncultured Funneliformis. RNAcentral's name for it is "LSU rRNA". It matches the Rfam family "Eukaryotic large subunit ribosomal RNA", at positions 204 to 637 of the family's 3401-position model. The record is from RNAcentral. Lineage: Eukaryota; Fungi; Glomeromycota; Glomeromycetes; Glomerales; Glomeraceae.